RNAcentral lists this ribosomal RNA (437 nucleotides) under uncultured Oscillibacter sp. Its description in RNAcentral is "partial 16S ribosomal RNA". It matches the Rfam family "Bacterial small subunit ribosomal RNA", at positions 341 to 792 of the family's 1533-position model. The record is from RNAcentral. Lineage: Bacteria; Bacillati; Bacillota; Clostridia; Eubacteriales; Oscillospiraceae.
ACGGAAGGCAGCAGUGGGGAAUACUGGGCAAUGGGCGAAAGCCUGACCCAGCAACGCCGCGUGAAGGAAGAAGGUCUUCGGAUUGUAAACUUCUUUUAUCAGGGACGAAGAGAGUGACGGUACCUGAUGAAUAAGCCACGGCUAACUACGUGCCAGCAGCCGCGGUAAUACGUAGGUGGCGAGCGUUAUCCGGAUUUACUGGGUGUAAAGGGCGCGUAGGCGGGGAUGCAAGUCAGAUGUGAAAUCUAUGGGCUUAACCCAUAAACUGCAUUUGAAACUGUAUCUCUUGAGUGUCGGAGAGGUAGAUGGAAUUCCUAGUGUAGCGGUGAAAUGCGUAGAUAUUAGGAGGAACACCAGUGGCGAAGGCGGCUUGCUGGACGAUAACUGACGCUGAGGCGCGAAAGCGUGGGGAGCAAACAGGAUUAGAUACCCUGGUA